RNAcentral lists this ribosomal RNA (460 nucleotides) under uncultured soil bacterium. RNAcentral describes it as "bacterial SSU rRNA". It matches the Rfam family "Bacterial small subunit ribosomal RNA", at positions 26 to 482 of the family's 1533-position model. The record is from RNAcentral.
AGGACGAACGCUGGCGGCGUGCUUAACACAUGCAAGUCGAACGGGAUCCGGGCUUUCGGGUUUGGUGAGAGUGGCGAACGGGUGAGUAACACGUGAGUAACCUGCCCCCUUCUUUGGGAUAACGUCGGGAAAUCGGCGCUAAUACUGGAUAUUCUUGCUGCAUCGCAUGGUGUGGUUUGGAAAGGGUUUCUGGUGGGGGAUGGGCUCGCGGCCUAUCAGCUUGUUGGUGGGGUGAUGGCCUACCAAGGCUUUGACGGGUAGCCGGCCUGAGAGGGUGUCCGGCCACGACUGGGACUGGAGACACGGCCCAGACUCCUACGGGAGGCAGCAGUGGGGAAUAUUGCACAAGUGGCGCAAGCCUGAUGCAGCGACGCCGCGUGAGGAUGGACGGCCGUUCGGUUACGGUAAACCUCUUUCUAGUAUGGAACAAGGAUCCGUUGUUUUCGGGUUGAGGUCGUGC